AAAUCCAAAGGCUUAUAUUCAUCUCUAACUUACCUCACGUGAUCUCAAAAUACAGGGUUUGGAACAUCGACGAAUUUUCAUGCAUAAAAUUUUGGUUCAUUGUAGGGCUAAAUCAAGCCGUAUAGGGUUGAGCGAUGGAGGAGGUGAAUCAUCUUUCUCUGUUGUCGCAUCCCCCUUCUAUAGCUUCACUUCCUGUUGAAGAAAGAGAGGGACAACAACUAAUGGAUGAUAAUGGUAUUGAUAAUAGUAAACAAGAUGCAAGAGGAGAAUUCAACAUCAAACUUGAAGUUGGGAUGAAAUUUGAGUCCAUUGAAAAGGUUAGAGAAUUUUAUAAUUUGUUUGCGAAGAAGAAUGGUUUUGGAGUACGGGUUUGCUCAACUAAACCAAAGAGAGCAGUCUUGGUAUGUUGCAAUGAAGGUCAACAUAAAGUGCAAAUCUCAAGAAUUAAAGAAAUUCAAGAUAGCACUAAUUAAACUAAAAGGAAGUGCUCAACUUUUUGAAGUGGUUGUCUGGCUUCACUUAUUGUUUCCAGAGGCACAACUAAAAGACUGAUGAGGAAUUGGCUAAUGGUGGAGUGAAUUAGGAUACAUUCCCUUAUACACAACUGUUUUAAGGUCCUUGUUUCGGUGCUGCCUUGUUUCGGGUUCUGAGGUCCUUUUUCUGCCAAGGUUGGAGGGUGCGGUGUGGCUGUUUUCUCGACCUUUAGAGCUGUUCUUGAUUACUGUUCCAGCUACUGGUUUUGCUUUUGUUUCUUUUUUCAUCUUGUUGUUUGUUGUUUUGCUUAGCUUUAGUUUCCUUUUGCUUUUUUGUUGCUCCUGUUGUUCUGCUAUCGUUCUGUUUUUCCUCACUUGGGAGAGGUUGUUCCCAAGCUUCUUGACUUUCUUUCUAUAUAUAUUAUUCUCCUUUAAAAAAACAACUUAUACACAAAUGCAGCUUUAUAAUGAAAGAUCCUGAUGACCCUAUUUUAGUAGUGUUUUUAGGGUCAUUUCUUUGUUGGUUUUGUGUCUUUUUGUUGAGUCUCAUGUAGUGUUUCAUGCACUCUCAUGCAUUUUUUUUUAUCUUUCUUUGUGUUUUUACUUUGUUUUAGUAAUUGUAUAGUUUUAUAAGGACCUUUCUUGCAUUUUAAGUAAGUUUAGGACUUGCAUAAUUUUUCUAUUUUAUUUUAGGGUUCUCUUGGCUAAUAGGCUCUUGGAGCUCCUAGAUAUUUCCUUGGCUUUGUGGUUAAGUUUUCAGGGCUGAAACUGAAGGAGAAAGAAGGUCAAGAAGCUUUGGGAAUUGAAGGGAGGCUUAAAGAGGCUUGAAGAGGAGUUAAGAGGAAGAUAAAAAGGUCUUCCUGCGAGCUUUGAGCGCCUAGGCGCUUUUUCCAGGGUUUUUGGAAUUGGCGCCUAGGCGUGCUCAAUUGGCUAGGCGCCAAUUGCCUUCCAGAGGGCACAUUUUCAGCUUGAAUUGGCGCUCAGGCGUGCUGAAUUGGCGCAUGAACGCCCAGACUCGUUUAUUUUUCCAAUAAAUAAAGUUUUGGCCAUUUUCUUUGUAACAUUUAGACAUUUUACUCAUUUUUGAUCAAGUUUAGAAGCUGAGGAGAAUCUUGGGGCUUGUGAGAGGCUUCCAACUUGUAAUUUUUCUUAAGUUCUUUAACAUUUCUUGUAUGGAUUCUCUAGCCAUGAGUGGCUAGUGUCCUUUUAUGC
Long non-coding RNA from Lotus japonicus, 1685 nucleotides. RefSeq lists it as uncharacterized. NCBI's taxonomy places the organism in Eukaryota, Viridiplantae, Streptophyta, Magnoliopsida, Fabales, Fabaceae. The transcript has 3 exons. The record is from RefSeq and is a predicted model, not a curated record.